UGCGAUGAGUCGAGCUAUCACGCAACUUCGGUUGUUCGCGCAAGCGAUUUAAGUGAUUUUUCGAGCGGGACACAUAUCUACCGUAUUGUAGGUGUCUGAUUAGUUGAGGUUGUGGAGCUU
Molecule: small RNA, 120 nt
Rfam family: Enterococcus sRNA 68 (Lacto-3 RNA)
About the family: Name 'Ref' stands for RNA in E. faecalis. Also known as Lacto-3 RNA. Lactobacillales (Firmicutes).
Source: Rfam